GAUGAACGCUGGCGGCGUGCCUAAUACAUGCGAGUCGAGCGAACAGAUGAGGAGCUUGCUCCUCUGACGUUAGCGGCGGACGGGUGAGUAACACGUGGAUAACCUACCUAUAAGACUGGGAUAACUUCGGGAAACCGGAGCUAAUACCGGAUAAUAUAUUGAACCGCAUGGUUCAAUAGUGAAAGACGGUUUUGCUGUCACUUAUAGAUGGAUCCGCGCCGCAUUAGCUAGUUGGUAAGGUAACGGCUUACCAAGGCAACGAUGCGUAGCCGACCUGAGAGGGAGAUCGGCCACCCUGGAACUGAGACCCGUUCGAGACGCCAGCGGGAGGCAGCAGUAGGGAAUGUUCGGCAAUGGGCGAAAGCCUGACAGAGCACGGUAGCGUGAGAGAUGAAGGUCUUAUGAUCUUAAAACUCUGUUAUCCGGGAAGAACAAAUGUGCAAGUACCUAUGCACGUCUUGACGGUACCUAAUCAGAAAGCCACGGCUAAGUACGUG
Molecule: ribosomal RNA, 497 nt
Filed under: uncultured bacterium
Lineage: Bacteria
Description: partial 16S ribosomal RNA
Rfam family: Bacterial small subunit ribosomal RNA
Source: RNAcentral